CUACGGUGAAUACGUUCCCGGACCUUGUACACACCGCCCGUCAAGCCAUGGAAGCUGGGUGUACCUAAAGCCGGUAACCGCAAGGAGCCGUUUAGGGUAAAACUAGUAACUGGGGCU
This 117-nucleotide ribosomal RNA is filed under the name uncultured bacterium. RNAcentral describes it as "partial 16S ribosomal RNA". It matches the Rfam family "Bacterial small subunit ribosomal RNA", at positions 1357 to 1482 of the family's 1533-position model. The record is from RNAcentral.